This 375-nucleotide unclassified non-coding RNA is filed under the name uncultured Rubrobacterales bacterium. Its description in RNAcentral is "contains 16S-23S intergenic spacer region". Lineage: Bacteria; Bacillati; Actinomycetota; Rubrobacteria; Rubrobacterales. The record is from RNAcentral.
UCCGGUUUGUCACCGGCAGUCUCCCAUGAGUCCCCAACUUAAUGAUGGCAACACACCACGGGGGUUGCGCUCGUUGCGGGACUUAACCCAACAUCUCACGACACGAGCUGACGACAGCCAUGCAGCAUCUGUGGUGCACCCUCGAAGGUCACACAUUUCUGUGCGCUUGCAGCACCAUGUCAAGUCCAGGUAAGGUUCUUCGCGUUGCAUCGAAUUAAAGAACAUGCUCCGCUGCUUGUGCAGGCCCCCGUCAAUUCUUUUGAGUUUUAGCCUUGCGGCCGUACUCCCCAGGCGGGACACUUAACGCGUUGGCUUCGGCACAGACAGAUUCGACUCCGCCCACACCUAGUGUUCAUCGUCUACGGCGUGGACUAC